This 2577-nucleotide long non-coding RNA is filed under the name Mus musculus (house mouse). Its description in RNAcentral is "long non-coding RNA chr15:80051060-80053637". Lineage: Eukaryota; Metazoa; Chordata; Mammalia; Rodentia; Muridae. The record is from RNAcentral.
AAAAAAGAAAAAAAAAAAAGCAACACGUAGUUGGGGAUGGCCUUGAAGUUCUGAUCCUCUUGACAGCUAGUCAUAAGGAGAUGUACUGACGGCUAGUCAUAGGUGAUUCUGGGGAAUCAAACCCAGAGUCCUGUGUACGCUAGGCAAACGCUACAUAGACAGGGCUCUAUUCCCCAGGGCGCUCUAAGGAAAGCUUAUGAACAAAACACCGGGUUUGCAGGAUAUGGCCUGUGGGCCAUCAGUGGACCACGUGAUCUCCUCCAUGGAUGCAGCCAUGCUCUUCCGGAUGAAGAAAAUGAGGCAGAGGGGGAACGGCACGCAAUGCCCAGAGUGCGAAGCAGUGGAUCCUACGCUCAGACCCAGGCCUCCCCACUCCCCAGCCUAUAAAACAGAGCACAGCUCUCCCUUCCAGAGCCUAGCUAAUUAACAAUAACGGGGCCCAUCCCAGCCAUGGAGGAACCAGGAAGUGCUUCGGGAGCUGCUCCUGAUCCUAGCAUUGUCCAUGGUGCAGAAACAAGGCUGACCGGAACGUGUGCUUCUAAGGAAGGGGUAAAUACGUCUUGGCAGGCAUCUGCUCUCACUGGCUCAGGAAGAAUGCACCAGAAAUGGACCGGACAGUGGGAGGAACGCUCUUUCCCAGGAACCUCUUGACGCAUUUUAAUGGUUGGCUAUGUGAUUAGCAGCUUUUCCUCAAGAAACCCGCCGGCUGCUGGGGCCCCAUUUUGUUUAUUUGCGUUUAACUAUUUCCUCUUCUUCCUCUUGUUUAAGUCUCUAAGUCUGGGACAUAAAAGGGGGUCUGCAGGUGUCCCUGAGGUCCCCACAGAGGAUGGGGGAAGGGAUCCUCAAAGAACCCUACUGUACCGUACUGCUCAUUGGGUCCCUCUGCACAGCUCUGUGAAGCGGUGACACACCCCCCCUCAUUUUUACACGGGAGGAAACUGAGUCAGGAACCGGAUGUUGAGGAAGUUGGCUCAGGGACAGGCCAAGUCCCGGGGCCUCCCCUUCGUCAGCCUACGCUUCUCACCCAGGGCUCUGUGUUCAGUUCAGUUCCUGGCCCAGAAUGGUUUCAGGUUCCUUCCCUGAGUCAGGUGGCCAUUCCGGCCCCUCCAUACCCCACACUCCCGCUGUCCAGCUGGGCUGAGAGCAGCUGGACUUCUUCCUGGAAUGCCCCAGCCGGGGUCUAAGGACCGGCUACCAGCCAGUCAGCCUUUACCAUCCUUAAACCUCUGGCACAGCUUGGGGCUGAGCAGCUCCCAAAGGAGCUAAUAACUGGUGUGUGUCCCUGCCUCCACUGAACAUCCUGCCCAAGUGGGUCCAUAGGCAAAGCAUCCUGGGAAUUCACAGUGUCCCUUGGCCCAGGAAGAGAUAGCUCACCAUCUAACUGACUCUUUUGAUGAAAAGACCAGCAAGGUUAAGAUAUUCGCUUAAAGUCACACAGUAAAGAGGCACAGAGAUAACUGCAGCAGUUUGGAUUUGCUCGUAGAAGAAACAGAAGAAUACAUCUUCACUGGGAAGAUUCUCAAGGGACACCCAUAACUCCUUUGCUUUCUGCCUGCUCCUCCUUUGAUUGGUUCCCAACAGUCACAUUGUGAGGGUUAGUUUUUGCCAACUUGAUACAAACCUAAGCCUAUGGCCCAGCCCACUGUGGUCAGUGCCACUCCUGGACGACUAUAAAAAAUGAGCCUUGGAACAGGCCCGAGCCUCCUUCCACAGCUCCUGCCUCUGUUCCUGCUUGGGUUCCUGCCCUGACUUCCCUCUGUGACAGACUGUGCGAUCCACACGGCUAAGCCAAAUAAAUACUUUCCUCCCCAAGUCGCUUUCAUUCAGGGUGCUGAUCACAGCGACAGAGACAAGCUAGGACUCCUCCCUCUGGAUUUGUCACGGCUCUCUGGAUGACUGCUCUCUGCCUCCUGGGAGGCUUAGGUGAUAUCUGCCUUCGUCACCUCUUAUCUCCAAACACUUUCAACUUUAAAUUCCAGCAUCUGGGAAGCAGAGACAGACAGCUCUCUGUAAUCUUAGGGCCAGUCUGGUCUACAUACCAGGGAUACAUGGUGAGAUCCUGCCUCAAAACAAAGCAAACCAAAAAAAACAAAAACAAAAACAAAAACAAAACAAAAACAAAAACAAAUUUUUAAUUAUAUGUAUAUAUGGGGUCAGAAGUGGGUAUGUGCACAUAAGUGCAGGUACCCUCAGAGGCCAGAAGGGGGCGUCAGAUCCCCUGGAGCUCAAGUUGUGAGCAAUUGAGCAGUUCACUUAUGUCCUGGAAACUGAAUUCAGGUUCUCUGCAAGAGCAGUACAUGGGUUGUUGUUGUUGUUGUUGUUGUUGUUGUUGUUUUGAGACAGAGUCUCACUACGCAGCUCAGGCUGACCCAGCCCUAGCUGUACAUCUUUCCAGGUUCAGGGCCCUUGACCUGGGUUGUCAAUACUGAAGACAGUAGCAGGAAAGAUCAGAACAGCCACAGUGGAUGUUGGAGCGUGCUUGGUCUCAGAUGAAGCCUGGCGAGUCUCCAGCCAGCAUGUGUCCUACAGGGCUGUGGCUUUGUUCCUUGUAAAGGAAGACAACAAUGACCCCUCCUG